AGUAAAGUAAGCUAAAAUAAGCUAGUGGGUUCAUACCCCAAAAAUGAGUUAUCCUUUAUUA
This 61-nucleotide transfer RNA is filed under the name Amblyomma vikirri. RNAcentral describes it as "tRNA-Met". Lineage: Eukaryota; Metazoa; Arthropoda; Arachnida; Ixodida; Ixodidae. The record is from RNAcentral.